RNAcentral lists this long non-coding RNA (298 nucleotides) under Setaria italica (foxtail millet). RNAcentral describes it as "long non-coding RNA (SITA_LNC000196)". The record is from RNAcentral. Lineage: Eukaryota; Viridiplantae; Streptophyta; Magnoliopsida; Poales; Poaceae.
AUCAAGAGGGGAAAACAGAGUUCUGUUCUUAUAACAAGGGUAGCAAAAAGAGGAGCACGAAAAAGGUUUACUCGCACCUAUUUCUUUCAAUAAGACUUAAGAGCAUCCUCCAGGUCUUCGAUAUUUGACGGAUUAUCUGUACCUCACAGGGUGAUAUGAUGGUGGCUACAGCUCGAUAAUACAACCAAAAUCAUGAAGUUGUUCGACAGGCCUGUUAGUUUGAAUGCAGGUCCGGUUAUGAUACUUUGACUGUGGAGCAGAUCUUCAGGAACUCGUCAAUCUUGGCAGAGUAGACGUG